GCAAGUCGAACGGUAACAUGGGAGCUUGCUCCUGAUGACGAGUGGCGGACGGGUGAGUAACGCGUGGGAACAUGCCUAUCAGUUGGGGACAACCUGUGGAAACGCAGGCUAAUACCGAAUACGUUCUACGGAAUAAAGGUGGCCUCUACUUGUAAGCUAUCGCUGAUAGAUUGGCCCGCGUUGGAUUAGCUAGUUGGUGGGGUAAUGGCUCACCAAGGCAACGAUCCCUAGCUGGUUUGAGAGGAUGAUC
This 250-nucleotide ribosomal RNA is filed under the name uncultured bacterium. RNAcentral describes it as "partial 16S ribosomal RNA". It matches the Rfam family "Bacterial small subunit ribosomal RNA", at positions 57 to 305 of the family's 1533-position model. The record is from RNAcentral.